GCUUUCCUAUUUAACAACACUAGACUGCGAAAUGAAAGUGGCAUAUUCUUGGAAACAAGAUGCACAUAUAUAAACUGCAACAUUUUGGAGAAUGCUUACAUUUAUUUGCAAACCGUCAAGGACAUCACGAACAUUCUGAAAACUACAAGUCGGUCAGAAUUUAUUGGAGCCAAUGCUGAGGGUGAUGAGGGGCCCACAGUGGAACUUCUCCAUGGAUCAGCAACAGCGACAAUGGGGGCCUUCAACUUCUAGCUUCCUCUUGGAUGCCCAGAGCUCCGAGAGUGCUGUUCUAUGGACCCCAGGAAGCUGCCACACCCCAAGCCUCUACCCUUCUUCUCCUCAGCUUCAGAACCUGCAUGUCUCUGGAAGUCAUUAAAGCUCUUCAGACCAGCCAAAGAACCUAGAAGGAAAGAAGAGGAAACUUUUCUGCCCCUAUUUUGAUGACCCAGAUGGGAGCUUCACAGGCUAGACUCCGCUCACUCCAGAGCCAUGGCAGCUGAGAGAUGUUGGGAUCUCUGACAAAAAGCCAGCAGAAGGUAAGAAUUAUCAUAACAAGCCUGGAUCUCUGCUUGCAGAGUUUAAUGGAAGCAACAGUGGUUCAUCCUUUCCUUCAUCUAAAUUUAGGUAGCAGGAGAAAAUAUUUGGGUGAACUGGUUCAUUGGGUGUAAUGAUUUUAGUAAACAAUUUGUUAUGAGUACUUUUGUUUCCUAUUGAUCCCUUUCCACCUGUCCCUUUCCAGAGACAGUCACUGUUUGCUUUUUUGUCUCUUUCAUCUUGUUCUAUGUCUUGAGAACUUGGUUUUGUGACUGGUGAGAAUAGUCUCCUUAGUUUCUGCCAACUGGAGGAUGCAUGUAUGGAGGAUACACGUAUGGAGGAUACACGUAUGGAGGAUACAUUUGAUGGACACCUAAGCAGGCUAUGGAUCCAAAGACAGUGCUCCCUUUGUCCAGCUGUGCCAGCUCUCAGGGGAUUUGUCAUAAGGGGUCUGGGUCCAUAGUGGCUUUUGUCAUCUCAACCUUCAUGGCCUUGUUAGCUCUGGAAAAGUCCCAGUUCCAGUAGUACCG
This 1064-nucleotide long non-coding RNA is filed under the name Vulpes vulpes (red fox). Its description in RNAcentral is "lncRNA (ENSVVUG00000009710.1)". Lineage: Eukaryota; Metazoa; Chordata; Mammalia; Carnivora; Canidae. The record is from RNAcentral.